AGACCCGAAACCCGGUGAUCUAGCCAUGGGCAGGUUGAAGGUUGGGUAACACUAACUGGAGGACCGAACCGACUAAUGUUGAAAAAUUAGCGGAUGACCUGUGGCUGGGGGUGAAAGGCCAAUCAAACCGGGAGAUAGCUGGUUCUCCCCGAAAGCUAUUUAGGUAGCGCCUCGUGAAUUCAUCUCCGGGGGUAGAGCACUGUUUCGGCUAGGGGGCCAUCCCGGCUUACCAACCCGAUGCAAACUGCGAAUACCGGAGAAUGUUAUCACGGGAGACACACGGCGGGUGCUAACGUCCGUCGUGAAGAGGGAAACAACCCAGACCGCCAGCUAAGGUCCCAAAGUCAUGGUUAAGUGGGAAACGAUGUGGGAAGGCCCAGACAGCCAGGAUGUUGGCUUAGAAGCAGCCAUCAUUUAAAGAAAGCGUAAUAGCUCACUGGUCGAGUCGGCCUGCGCGGAAGAUGUAACGGGGCUAAACCAUGCACCGAAGCUGCGGCAGCGACACUCAGGUGUUGUUGGGUAGGGGAGCGUUCUGUAAGCCUGCGAAGGUGGCCUGUGAGGGUUGCUGGAGGUAUCAGAAGUGCGAAUGCUGACAUAAGUAACGAUAAAGCGGG
This 614-nucleotide ribosomal RNA is filed under the name Salmonella enterica. Its description in RNAcentral is "partial 23S ribosomal RNA". It matches the Rfam family "Bacterial large subunit ribosomal RNA", at positions 711 to 1321 of the family's 2925-position model. The record is from RNAcentral. Lineage: Bacteria; Pseudomonadati; Pseudomonadota; Gammaproteobacteria; Enterobacterales; Enterobacteriaceae. RNAcentral also lists the same sequence under 1 other name.